This 48-nucleotide transfer RNA is filed under the name Furcifer belalandaensis. Its description in RNAcentral is "partial tRNA-Leu". The record is from RNAcentral. Lineage: Eukaryota; Metazoa; Chordata; Lepidosauria; Squamata; Chamaeleonidae.
ACUUUCAAAGGAGAACAGUUAUCUAAUGGUCUUAGGAUCCGAAUGUCU